RNAcentral lists this small nuclear RNA (338 nucleotides) under Marmota monax (woodchuck). Its description in RNAcentral is "7SK RNA". It matches the Rfam family "7SK RNA". From Rfam's summary of the family: 7SK was discovered as an abundant small nuclear RNA in the mid-70s but a possible function has only recently been suggested. Two independent studies have found that 7SK RNA binds the CDK9/cyclin T complex (known as elongation factor P-TEFb). Lineage: Eukaryota; Metazoa; Chordata; Mammalia; Rodentia; Sciuridae. The record is from Rfam by way of RNAcentral.
GGAUGUGAGGGCGAUCUGGCUGCGACAUCUGUCACCCCAUUGAUCGCCAGGGUUGAUUCGGCUGAUCUGGCUGGCUAGCCGGGUGUCCCCUUCCUCCCUCACCGCUCCAUGUGCGUCCCUCCUUCCUCCCUCACCGCUCCAUGUGCGUCCCUCCCGAAGCUGCGCGCUCGGUCGAAGAGGACGACCUUCCCCGAUAGAGGAGGACCGUUCUUCGGUCAAGGGUAUACGAGUAGCUGCGCUCCCCUGCUAGAACCUCCAAACAAGCUCUCAAGGUUCAUUUAUAUUAGCAUAAAAAAGAAAAUAGCAAUAGGAAUAUAGUUCAGUAGUAGAGCACUUAC